This 253-nucleotide unclassified non-coding RNA is filed under the name uncultured Elusimicrobia bacterium. RNAcentral describes it as "contains 16S-23S intergenic spacer region". It matches the Rfam family "Bacterial small subunit ribosomal RNA", at positions 524 to 776 of the family's 1533-position model. Lineage: Bacteria; Pseudomonadati; Elusimicrobiota; Elusimicrobia. The record is from RNAcentral.
GACAUAUGGGGCGAGCGUUACUCGGAAUCACUAGGCGUAAAGCACGUGUAGGCGGAUGCUCAAGUCUGCUGUGAAAUCUCCCGGCUCAACUGGGAGGGGUCAGUGGAAACUAAGUGUCUAGAGUUAGGUAGGGGUCAUCGGAAUUCCUGGUGUAGCGGUGAAAUGCGUAGAUAUCAGGAGGAACACCAAUAGCGAAAGCAGAUGACUGGGCCUUAACUGACGCUGAGACGUGAAAGCCGGGGGAGUAAACAGG